AAUGUUGGCAUUAAAAAAACUACACUUUGAUCUUCAAAACUGCAGAGUUUGGGUUUCAGCAGCAAAAGAAACCACCUCCAUGUGCAGAGCAUCCAGCCACGCUCACUUGGCGAACUGCCACUGAGAAGUAACAUUGAAACUCUCAGCAAGGUUGCACAGGACUAGAAGUUAUGUAAAACAGCUGGACUGAAAUACAACAUUCUGUUCAGAAGCCUGAAUGGCCUGCAGCACAAUUCCAGUGUAUUCUGAUGCACCAUGGAAAUCAACCUGCCUGACCUCCCAAGUGAACUGACUUGGAUUAGAAACUCUUUUAAUCAAGACCAUCGAUACAGAGGGAAAGUUAUAAAUGAGAAAGGCUCAGAAGAAUUGUUCCUGCAGACUUUAACAGGGCGCUGCGCAACAGGCGAGAGCAACAACAACAACAAAGUACAAUGAGAAAAGAGAAAAAGCCAACGGGCACCAGGAACCAAAGCGCCUCCGGCCCCAGCGCUGCCCCGUCACUGCGAACCCCCGAACGCACACACGGCCUCGCCUCUCCCUCCCUCUUCUUCUCCUCCUCUCCCUCUUCC
Pipra filicauda (Wire-tailed manakin) is the source of this 569-nucleotide long non-coding RNA. RefSeq lists it as uncharacterized. The transcript is spliced from 4 exons. NCBI's taxonomy places the organism in Eukaryota, Metazoa, Chordata, Aves, Passeriformes, Pipridae. The record is from RefSeq and is a predicted model, not a curated record.